RNAcentral lists this transfer RNA (65 nucleotides) under Onchidium reevesii. RNAcentral's name for it is "tRNA-Lys". The record is from RNAcentral. Lineage: Eukaryota; Metazoa; Mollusca; Gastropoda; Systellommatophora; Onchidiidae.
GUGGCCGAGUGUCAAGGCAAUAGAUUUUUAAUCUUAGUACGGGAUUUUCCCCUUUUGCGUUGGUU